Long non-coding RNA from Scylla paramamosain (green mud crab), 3756 nucleotides. RefSeq lists it as uncharacterized. NCBI's taxonomy places the organism in Eukaryota, Metazoa, Arthropoda, Malacostraca, Decapoda, Portunidae. The record is from RefSeq and is a predicted model, not a curated record. The transcript is spliced from 2 exons.
UUAACACACACACAAAAAAUAAAUAAAUAAAAACGAAUUAAAGAAGAAAGCUGUACGUAUGUGUGGUGCCAACUUGCUCGACUGCAUAGUUUUACAUUUGCUUAUACGUCUGUUUGUUUGUUGGGGUCAUGCAUGAUUGUAUUUUAUUCCUGUAUUAAGUCAUACACAUUAUUAUGGCCACUGUUUGUGCACGUCUCUGCCCACCUGUCUGUGAACAAACAUUCCGUGUCUAGAGAGUCUUGCAUGUAUUUACACUUUUUGCUUCUCAUUCAUAAUUGACCGCCAGUAAACAGGCAUACAUCCUCGGCGAGUCUUCCCUCCUACACCUCCGCCCCUCCCCACACCUUCACCCCUCCUUCCUCGCCGCCACUCAUUCUCUCACACUCACACUCGUGCAGUUAGCCAAGAAGCCCAGAAGAAGGUGAUCAAAUACAGGUGGAGGAGGAAGGAGAGGAGGAGGAGUAGCAGGAGGAGGAGGAGAAGGAGGAGGAGGAGGAGGAGAAGGAGGAGGACGUGUUGAUGGUGGUGGAAGAGGUGGAGGAGGCAGGGCGGGGGAAAGGGGCCUGGGGUAGGUAAGAGACGAGGGGGCAGUCGAGGGCGGUGGGAGGGCGAGGGUCGGGGAGACAGGGAUGACUGCAGCUGCUGCCCGUCGGAGAAGCUCAGUGUGGGGCACGCUCCCGGCCGGGAAGGAGGGUUUUGCCGGGUGCUGCAGGUGGUCUUGUUAGCUCGUGUUUACCUGCCGACAGACCCUCGGGACGUGCCGGGAGGUGGUUCUCGUCCCCAGCUUGUUUCUUGAGUGGUGGAGAAUAUCGUGGCAGUCCCGUUCCUUUCUGCAUCGGCAUGUAACUUUGUCGAAACUUUUCCCUGAAUAACCCGGUGUGGAAACUACUGUUUUUUCCCUUCUUUAAUUUUUGCGCUCCGCUAAUUAAAUGCCUGUGCAAGCUACACGUGAGGUGGGUCUUUGGAUCGGAUUCUAAAACCUGAGGCCAGUAAUUAAGGUCAGUCUUGAACGCCGUUAGAAAAAAAAAAAAAAGUUUCCUUGCCAUUAUACGGCAAAGUUAUCAUUUUACUUUUCCCACAAGGCAAGUCUGAUCUGUGAAUUUUCUUACAUACGUGGCGCACCUUCCCAGUGAACUGUCUCUUCCUUGUCUGGAAAAAAAAAAAAAAAGAAGAGUGCAUGAAAACAUUGAAAUUGUUGUGAAUGAAGAUAUGUUCAAUAGUUAUUGAAAAAAAAAAAAGUGCAUGAAGACACUGUCUGAAAAUCUAUAAUUGAAAAAAAAUAUAUACGAAUAAACAUGAGUAGAUAAUAAUGAUCACUGGUGAUGAAAUUAUAUGUGGAAAAAAUAGAGGGAAAAAAAUUAAAGUGAACUUUUGUGUCGACCUUGCAAGUAUAUAUUAAGGAUGUUCAUCCGUUAGUUUUUUUUACCUGAGAUUGUUACUACGUACAUAUUGAUUAGUUCCAGGACAGCAAUUCAUCGUUCAUAAUUAAGGAAUCCAGGCUUCUCCUUGGGAUACCUAUCACACGUCAGGACACAAACAAGACGUACCACAAGUGUCACUGAGAGAGAGAGAGAGAGAGAGAGAGAGAGAGAGAGAGAGAGAGAGAGAGAGAGAGAGAGAGAGAGAGAGAAGGAAAUAGCCGGUACGUGAGCGAUACAGUGAAUAAGUAUAAUGUUUGUCACUGAUACUUGACUAUUUCCGUCACUAACUUUUGUUUACUGCCUUGAAGCCACAAAAUAUAAUUAAGUGAAUUGAAAACGACCAGACCAGUUUUUGUGCGAUCGUCUCAUGUGGUUUUUAUAACGCCGCGGUAUUUCAUGGACGGGAAUUUUGCCUUUGUAAAAAUAACCAAUUAUAUUCUAAUGCAAUUAUAAAUAAGGAAAUUAUAUACACAGCUACUACUACUACUACUACUACUACUACUACUACUACUACUACUACUAGUAAUAUUAAUAUAUUAAUAUGAAUAUGAAUAUGAAUAUGAAUAAAUUUAACAAUAGUAAUAAAGAUAAAAAAGUAAUAAAAGUAAUAAGAAAAGAAAAGUAGUAGUAGUAGUAGUAGUAGUAGUAGUAGUAGUAGUGGUCGUAGUAGACCUAGUAGUAGUAGUAGUAGUAGUAGUAGUAGUAGUAGUAGCAGUGGUAGUAGCAACAGUAACAUCAGCAGCAGUAGUAGUAGUAAUAAUAGAAGAAAAAAGAAGUAGAAGAAAAGAAAGAAGAAAAUAGUUACAAUGACAAACAAGAUAUUAAUGGGUUCAUCUCGUUUUAUGAGGGCCAUGAUUGCCAGUAAGUAGAGGCAGGAAGUCUUGUUCAGAACCAGCUAAGACCUUCACAGUUGAGGAGAAGCCACAUUUUGCAUCACAUUAAAGCUGAUUAAGGCGGAGGCGUCCACUCGGGGCGGGAGGCAGAACUGAUACAAGGCGGCGGGGUCGGUGGGUCACUGCAUCUGUGAAGUAAUGCCGUUCACCUGCUUGUUUUACUACCAGUACGCCCUGCUCUUGUACUCCCUUACCUCUCCCUCCACCUCGCCACACCUGCGAUCCGAGCAACAACUAGCACCAGAUUCUCGCACCAGCUUCUCAAAGUUGCUCAGUUUAUUUCUUCCAUCCCAUCCUUCUCCACUUGAAUUGUUUUUAUUGCUUACCAAAGAAAAUCUAUCUAUCCUCUAUCUUUGUGGCUCAUUGAUUUCUUUAUUAUAGUGUAUUUGCUUCACUCGGAAAACUUCUUAACAUGUGCAGCUGUUUGCUUAUCCAUUAUAGGAAGAAUGUGUAGUACAAACAUGAAUACAUAAGUUUAUCCAGACUUUUAUUUUUGGCUUUUUUUUUUUUUUGAGCAGGUAACUUGGAAAUUUUGCAUGAAGUGGUAUUUAUUCGUGGAGAUUAAUAAUGUGUGUGUGUGUGUGUGUGUGUGUGUGUGUGUGUGUGUGUGUGUGUGUGUGUGUGUGUGUGUGUGAGUGUGUGUCUGUGCCAGUGUCUGUAAGUAUGCAUAUUUUUCACAACAAUUUCUAACAACUCGACUCAGAUUUCAAACUUGGAGCCACUAUUUAUCUUUCCCUAACUCAAUUACUGCUGGCGGGACGGACGUGUAUGCCCUCACUGAUCUCUUCGGAAGCUUUAACCUGUGGUAGCGAAUAUCCUAUUAGUAGAAACACGCACAGGCGACAGAAAAACCACUGUGCAUACAUGUCAACGCGCUACAGAAAGGUGCAGGCGAGAACAAUCAGUGUAUACAAGUGAGAUUAUUAUUAUAGAUUUUUAUAGUGUGCAUAUGUUGGAGAAAAUUACAACAUAAGAAAAAAAUUAAAGUGAAUAUGGUGCUUUUUUUGUGUGUAUAGUGAAAGGAGGCAAUCAGCUGGAUAUACGGAAAAAAGCUUCUAUAUCACCACCACCACCACCACCACCACCACCACGAGCAAUUCACAUCCAAGAUUCUCCACCCACACCCUCACCAUGACGACCAGGGUGGCGGUGAGCUCAAGCGUGACGUACGAUGACCUGCCUGAUGGGGCAUGCUUCCACCGCCCUCACCUACAGGAGGCGGAUUAUCCCCCCACCCCUCUGCCCACACCAGUCCUUACCCCUCGCCCCGUCCCAGAGUCCCUGCCCCGCCACGUGCCCCGCCAUGUCACCUCCACUCCCCAGACACUCAAGCCCCACGCCAAACCCUCUCCCACACCCUUCCCUACCCCCCUGCCCUCACCCCUGCCCACUCCUAUGGCCACGCCAAAAAACACACCUGAGGGCACUCCAGACGCCACACC